UCCUGCCGCUCAUUUCGGAGCGAUUUUUCUGAAUUUAUUUCCAGUUAAAAGUUGCGGCUGUACUUGGUGCGUCAGCGCUCAAACUUGAGCACAAAGCAGGAGGGAGAGGGAGAGAGACAUAGAGAGACCGAGGCAGCGGGAGAGAGAGAGAGAGAGAGCGAGAGGAGCGGUCCCCUUUUCCUUUGUCUGAUGCGGGGCUCUUUGAGGAGAGAACUUGAGGGGAUGCUCAGACACGCAUCUCCACAACGCGCAAUAACGCUCAACUUGUGCAAAUUAGAAUGAAGUGACAGCGCGCUUUCAUGGAGGUGGAAUUUGGACACAGAUUAACCAGCAAAGCAAUUCCUCCUGCGCGAGGCCGAGGGAAUAAAAAUAUGUGGAAAUCACACGGAAGAUGUACAGAGUCACCUAUCAAGCGACUUUUAAGACGAAGACGAGGAUUAAGAGACUGUGCGGUUUUCUUUUGGAGAAGGUGAAGACUUAUCUCAUAAGGAUUUAGACUUCAGCAGCAGCAGUGCCAGUCGGAUUGGCACACUUGGAAAUCUAAACUCAUGGAGACACUUUGAGGAUUAUAAAAAAUGUGUAGUAAGUCUCUCUACAAGACAUGUCCCGGGCCAAAGUCCCCCGGAUAGCAGGAUAUUGCAUUUCUGAUCCUCCUCGACCUUCGCAUGGGGAGCGUGGGAGUGGUGAGGUCUGGGAGAUCACGACCUUAAUUCUCUCCAAGACAGACAGUUUAAUUAACACUAGAGGAAUCCUCACCAACUCCAGACCUCCACAUUGAGAGUGUACAGGGGAAUUGGAUUGCCCAGGUCCUCUUGGCCAUUUAGUAGACUGAGAUGCUGACAGACGAUGCCCAUGAAUGAUGAAUGAUGACUGGAGGUCUGUCCGGUGCCAACAGAAUGCAUAAUACAGCGCAGAUACAGCAUUUCCAGUUCCCCUCACCAGGAACAUGGUGCUGCUCCUGUAUCAUAUUAUUGCAAGAUUUGCCCUCAGCCGGACAGCAGGAGCACUUAAAGUGGAAAUCAGCUGCAAAACCGCCUUCAGGAAUGUUGUUUUCUACUUGGAAUCCUAAAUGAAGGAGCUUUAUAAAGGAUUGGCUGGCCUCCUUCAUUGUCGUCCACAUCGCACGAAGACCACCUCACAGGGAUUUUCCUCUUCACCAGUUGAUGCUGUUGCAGUCACCGUUCUACCAGAGCACAUGGCAGGUCUCCAAUUGUGCUCUCCGUCUGCAGUAUUUGUCUGUUCGGGGCAGAUCUACAAAGAAUCCUGCAUGAAAAUGGAAGAUGAAGAGGACAACAGCUUGCUGGAGACAAAAAGAAAACAAGGAGAAAGACGAAACCUGUCGGUGUUUUUGAGAAUCUGUAACCGCUAAAUUAUGCAUAUUUCUCUCAUAUAAGGUGACUUCUAAUUGUUCCUCGUCGUGAGGAAAGUAUUUGACUUUGGGGAUAAUGGCAGCAUCUGGUGAGUCUAAAUUAGAAUCUGAGGUUGUGCUUUCACAUCAGUCAGGUACACAGUCGCCAUAUUUCACAACUGCCUCUGCCUGAAAAGAAGUUUGACAUUAAAUAUGGACUGAUAUAAUUUUUUAUGAGUUGUACAGUAAGUUUAUGUUCUUUUUUGACAAUGAUAUGUUUGUAAUAGCCUCUGUAAUGCCAACCAGUUUAUUAUAACCGCAUGAUGCAGGGACACUGCCAUGGAGUUUGCAUGUUCUUUUACGGAGCUUUUACCUUGUAGAUUUUCAUGUAUGUGGAUUUGAGAAAACACACAUUUGGAACAAUGUAUCUGGUGCAACUACAAGUGUGAUACAAUUACAUUUUCAUGUACGUGCAUUGUGUGCCUUGAGAAACAGUGAUCGUAACUUCAUCACAGGGGAACAAAGAUGAUAUUAAGGGCAUGUACUCAUACAAUAUACAAAACUCUGAGGAGAAAUAUACUCGACUGGAGCGCUCUCCUGACAAUAUAUGUGAAGAGUUCCACUUUUAUCAUCACAACAUAAAUUCUUAAUGAAUAUUGUAUUGUUCUGUGAAAAAUCUAGGUAAUAUAAUGUUGGAUAAAGGAUUUUAAUGGUUACUCAACAGACUCAUGAAAACAUGGAACUACACUUGUCAGAGGACAGUAUAAAAGCAGUGUGGGAAUAGUGAAGCUGCUGAGGGUGUCUGCAGCAUCAAGAGGAAAGAGUUCCUUUCUCCUCCAGACCUGCGUGUUGAAGCUCUUUAAAUAGCUCAGAGAGGAGAAGCUUUCUGCAGUGUGCUGUGAUAAUAAUGGUAGAGACUUUAUAUGAAAAGUGUCUUACUUCUGGCCACAAGGUCUGAGGUGUGUAAAUCAUCCCUGAAGCCUCGUUUUACAAUACAUUUGUGUUUAGCUUCUUUAUUUUCACGCCUGACCUGUAAUUACAGAACCCACCUUAUAGUAAGUCAUCUACAAUUAUGUGGUUUGCUUUUAUUGACUUCACAGUCCAUAAAGACUUUUUUUUUUGUAAUUAAACAAGUUUGUAGUGUCUGUAUUUGCAUUUAAUAUUUAAUCUGGUUACCUGCUAGCUGGAAAAGCCUUGGACAAUUGCUUUAACAGGGCAUUAUCUAACAUUUAUAGCUUCAAUAAAACCCCAAAACUAUUGGGUUAUUCCUCUGGGAGCCACGCAUGUCUGCAGCGAAGUUCAUGGCAAUCCAUUCAAACCUUGACAAUUUGAUUUAAGUCUGGACCAAAGUGGUGGACUGACCGAGCAGUUCUGUCCCUUGAGCACCUCUGCUGGCAUGGCUAAUUAACAGCUUUAAAUGCUGGGGCCAGUCGUAUAUAAUUUGCCAUUUAGGAAAACACUCAGAAAAGAAUGUUUUCUUUAUAUAAUAAAGCACAUUUCAAGCCAGAAAACUAAGGAAGAAGGGUUGGAGCUGUCACAUAUCAGUUUAGAGGCCUCCCUAUCUGCCUCCCUCCAUCUCUGUCUGUGGUUACUGCACAUUAAACCCAGCUCCAGUGGUCAGAGAGCCCUUCCGAUAUUUUCCAUGAGCAGUUUAUCGCACUUCCUUUCCCUUUGCUAGGCCCCCAGUCAGUCUGUAGGCAGGAAAAUCAAAGACUUUGGGACAUAUCAUUACAGUGCAAAUGGUAUAUUUCACAGUACAGCAUGCUAAUGAGACUUUUCAAAACCGAAAUGUCUCAGUAUAAAACAGAAAAGGGAAAUGAAAAGAGCUUUCACAAGAGAUGUAAAGGUUUGAGAUACACAUUAGAUUGAAAAUUCAAGCCAAGCUGAAAAUGACCCUGAGUACAGAAUAACAGGCUAAAUGAUUUCACUUCA
Long non-coding RNA from Acanthochromis polyacanthus (spiny chromis), 3280 nucleotides. RefSeq lists it as uncharacterized. The transcript has 7 exons. The record is from RefSeq and is a predicted model, not a curated record. NCBI's taxonomy places the organism in Eukaryota, Metazoa, Chordata, Actinopteri, Pomacentridae.